GGCGAUCAGAUACCGCCCUAGUUCUGACCGUAAACGAUGCCAACUAGCGAUCCGCCAGUCGACUCAUCGCUCUGGUGGGGAGCUUCCCGGAAACGAAAGUCUUCCGGUUCCGGGGGAAGUAUGGUUGCAAAGCUGAAACUUAAAGGAAUUGACGGAAGGGCACCACCAGGAGUGGAGCCUGCGGCUUAAUUUGACUCAACACGGGGAAACUCACCCGGCCCGGACACCGUAAGGAUUGACAGAUUGAUAGCUUUUUCAUGAUUCGGUGGAUGGUGGUGCAUGGCCGUUCUUAGUUCGUGGAGCGAUUUGUCUGGUUUAUUCCGAUAACGAGCGAGACUCUGGCCUACUAAAUAGUUGACGCAUUGCCACUGUGCGCACAACUUCUUAGAGGGAUUUUCGGUGUUUUCAACCGCGCGAAAGUGAGCUAUCACAGGUCUGUGAUGCCCUUAGAUGUGCGGGGCUGCACGCGCGCUACACUGGCAAACGCAACGUGCCUGUCCUGCCCCGAACAGGAGCUGGUAAACACCUGGAAAUAUUUGCCGUGAUUGGGAUCGGACCUUGCAACUAUAGUCCGUGCACGAGGGAAUCCCUUGUUGGGGCUAGUCAUCGACUCGUCCUGAGUACGUACCUGACCUUCGUA
RNAcentral lists this ribosomal RNA (640 nucleotides) under Rotylenchulus reniformis. RNAcentral describes it as "SSU rRNA". It matches the Rfam family "Eukaryotic small subunit ribosomal RNA", at positions 1003 to 1664 of the family's 1831-position model. The record is from RNAcentral. Lineage: Eukaryota; Metazoa; Nematoda; Chromadorea; Rhabditida; Hoplolaimidae.